This is a long non-coding RNA of Clupea harengus (Atlantic herring), 802 nucleotides long. The record is from Ensembl. Lineage: Eukaryota; Metazoa; Chordata; Actinopteri; Clupeiformes; Clupeidae.
UGUGUUUGUUACUCUUAGCAUUUGUGCUAUAUUGGCCAUGACUACAUGUGUGUUUGCUACUGUUAACCUAUUUUUUUCUCUCUCUUUACUAUUCAAAGCCACCGAGCAGGACACUGUGUAUGCUGAUGUUAACCCAGACCAGAAACAAACACCUCGGAGAUCCCUCAGUGGGCCCAAUGAGAUGUCCAUCUAUGAGACUGUGAAUGAAGGAGCAAUUGGGAUUCAGAGCAAUCCACAGACAUUGUAUGACAAGAUAAACUUCACACGGCAAGGAGGAAAGAAAGACAUUUGCACCAGAGCAAUUGGGAAUCAGAGCAAUCCACAGACAUUGUAUGACAAAAUAAACUUCACACGGCAAGGAGGAAAGAGCGACGUUUGCCCCACGCUGUCUUCUCCAUAUCAAGAGGUGUAACUGGAUGAAAGGUUGAUCACAUGCGUCUGUACUCUUUCUUUGUAAUAAGCCUUUUAUGAAUAUGCUCUCAACUGAACCUGUGAAUUUGGCAUUUUUUUAUGUGAACUGUAAAAUUGAAAGUGCAUGUAUAUAUUAGCAAUAUAAAAAGAGGUACAGACUGAUUGCAUGUUGAUGUUGCACAUGUUUUUCUUUGUAGGGGGUGGAUCAGUGUAUUGUCUAUUGUAUUGCUAGCAUGUUUAGAUUUUUUGUAAAUGAAUACAUAUAAUACUGUAUACAUGUGUCCUUUAAACUAUGUGUGUUUUCUUAAAACUAAAACAUAUAAUACACGUGUCGUUUGAACUGUGUGUUUUUUUUUACUAAUACAUAUAAUAAACAUGUGUCCUUUGAACU